RNAcentral lists this ribosomal RNA (524 nucleotides) under uncultured bacterium. RNAcentral describes it as "partial 16S ribosomal RNA". It matches the Rfam family "Bacterial small subunit ribosomal RNA", at positions 28 to 523 of the family's 1533-position model. The record is from RNAcentral.
GACGAACGCUGGCGGCGUGCCUAAUACAUGCAAGUCGAACGAAGCUUUUUUAACUGGUGCUUGCACCGACUUAAACAACUGAGUGGCGAACGGGUGAGUAACACGUGGGUAACCUGCCCCAAAGCGGGGGAUAACAUUUGGAAACAGAUGCUAAUACCGCAUAACCACAGAAACCACAUGGUUUCUGUGUAAAAGAUGGUUUCGGCUAUCACUUUGGGAUGGACCUGCGGAGUAUUAGCUCGUUGGUAAGGUAAUGGCUUACCAAGGCAAUGAUACGUAGCCGAACUGAGAGGUUGAUCGGCCACAUUGGGACUGAGACACGGCCCAAACUCCUACGGGAGGCAGCAGUAGGGAAUCUUCCACAAAGGACGAGAGUCUGAUGGAGCAACGCCGCGUGAGUGAAGAAGGUUUUCGGAUCGUAAAACUCUGUUGUCAGAGAAGAACGUGUGCGAGAGUAACUGUUCGUGCAGUGACGGUAUCUGGCCAGAAAGCCACGGCUAACUUCGUGCCAGCCGCCGCAGUAA